AGUCCUUGAAUAAAUCAAAGAUGAUUUCUGCCCAAUGAUAAAUUUUAAUACUAUAAACUGUAUAAUUAUUUAUUGAAUGGAUGCGGUAACCUUGACUGUAAUAAAGUAGCAUAAUCAUUUGUCAUUUAAUUGGUGAAGGGUAUGAAUGGAAGCACAAAUAUUUCAUUGUCUUAAAAAAAUUUUUUUGAAAUUAAAGUAAUAGUGAAGAUGCUAUUUUUAAUUGUAAGACGAAAAGACCCUAUAGAGUUUUACUAUAAUUAUUUUUUAUGGUAAUUAAUAAAUUAUUAAAUUACAUUUAAGAAUGGUUGGUAGUUUAGUUGGGGUGACUAUCUUUUAAAUUUAACAAAGAUUUCAAUAAUUAAUAAAUAAUUUACUGUAUAAUUUAUCAAUUUAACAGUUAUUAGCAUAGGUUAUAAUGACCCUUAAAAUUUGAAAAAUAAAAUUUUGAGUUUAUAGAUAAAAAUUACCUUAGGGAUAACAGGAUAAUUUUGUUUAAGAGUUCUUAUUUAAAACAAAGUUUGUCACCUCUAUGUUGAAUUAAGAUAACCUUAUGGUGCAGAGGCUAU
Molecule: ribosomal RNA, 566 nt
Filed under: Zyzzyzus warreni
Lineage: Eukaryota; Metazoa; Cnidaria; Hydrozoa; Anthoathecata; Tubulariidae
Description: partial 16S ribosomal RNA
Rfam family: Bacterial large subunit ribosomal RNA
Source: RNAcentral